UUUUAACGAGAGUUUGAUCCUGGCUCAGGAUGAACGCUGGCGGCGUGCUUAACACAUGCAAGUCGAGCGAAGCACUUUGCUUUGAUUUCUUCGGGAUGAAGAGCUUAGUGACUGAGCGGCGGACGGGUGAGUAACGCGUGGGUAACCUG
RNAcentral lists this ribosomal RNA (149 nucleotides) under [Ruminococcus] lactaris. Its description in RNAcentral is "Ruminococcus lactaris partial 16S ribosomal RNA". It matches the Rfam family "Bacterial small subunit ribosomal RNA", at positions 1 to 128 of the family's 1533-position model. The record is from RNAcentral. Lineage: Bacteria; Bacillati; Bacillota; Clostridia; Lachnospirales; Lachnospiraceae.